AAAAAAGCGUCAGCAGCGGAAGAGAAUCCUAUGUCAAGUGUAAAGGUCACUUGUGAGUCUUUGCUGGAUUUUUUUGCCAAACGAUAAAUAACCGGUUUUUUUGUGCGGACAUAAGUUUUCAUCUCCUUUGGAUAAAUACCAAGUAGUAUGAUUGCUGGAUCAUAAUGGCGAAGAAGGCGCUUUGUUUUCCCCUUCACCUUCUACCAUGACUGUACAUUUUAUGAGGCUUCCCCAACCAUACUGAACGAGUGCAGUGGCUACUCACAGGCCUUGAAGUCCUGGGCUCAAGCAAUCCUCCCACCUCAGGCUCCUGAAUAGCUGAGAACACUACAUGUAGUCUUACAUAGACCAGCAUUACUGUCUUCACAAUGGGAGAUGCAGAACAGCUGGCAGGAAUCAAUGUACUCUGUGUUUCUCAUGGGAGAAAGAAAGAACACUGAAGGAAACAAGGACUGUGCCAGGAGAGGUGAUUAAGCAAUUAGAAUAUUUUGAAGUCUAAAAUAACUGUAGUAUCAGGAGAACAACUGAACGAGAAAAUAAAUUACUGAGAGUAAAGCAGUCUGUAGAUUUUGGGAAGAUUCGUAGGUGUGUGAGAAACAAGACAUUUUGGAAUCUUAAUGUAAUCUGAGAAGUAAAAUAGACCUGUAUUCCUGUCAUUCUCUUUCUCAUUUUCUUCCUCCUCACCAAAUCAUGAUGUGGUUUAUUUCCUCCUCCAGGAUGCUCUCAACAGAGCACCUG
Molecule: long non-coding RNA, 738 nt
Filed under: Homo sapiens (human)
Lineage: Eukaryota; Metazoa; Chordata; Mammalia; Primates; Hominidae
Description: long non-coding RNA NONHSAT185754.1
Source: RNAcentral